Molecule: long non-coding RNA, 3628 nt
Organism: Capsicum annuum
Lineage: Eukaryota; Viridiplantae; Streptophyta; Magnoliopsida; Solanales; Solanaceae
Exons: 3
Source: RefSeq, a predicted model, not a curated record
AUGAGCAGUCUUCAUUAUGCACGUAGUCGGAGGAAUAGACUUGGAGAGGGGAAGAGAUUUACCUCUUCGUGUCAAGAAAGGGUAAUUUUCUCCUUAUUGAAGACAACACUUUUCAAAUUGAGUAAUUUACUAAUUAACGCAAUUAUCAAAUAUCAAAAUAUUUUACAUCUGAUAAAAACGGCCAGUCCAGUAUAUAGUAUACGAAGCUCCUGCUAUGCUCGGAGUCCAGUAUACGAAGCUCCUGCUAUGCUCGGAUACAGGGAAGAAGUUUACCUCUUCGUGUCCAGAAAGGGUAACUUUCUCCUUGUUGAAUACAGAAGUUUCAAAAUCGAGAGAGAUUGGUGCUUUGACAGCAGUAGGAGUAGCUACCAUACGAGCACUGAAUGCUCCACCGGAGCUAGUUCCGCCAGAGAUUUAGCUCUGAGAGGCUUAAGUGAAUGGGAUGACAAAGAAAGGAAGCCUAAGUAGCCGGAAAGAGAAGGCUUUAGGGAUUUGGAUGAAGCGGAGAAAGAAGUAGCCGCCGCCAUUGUUGGUUUGUUGAGCUGCCGGUGAGGAGUGUGAAAAGUGUAGAGAGAGCGGGGGAAAUUAGGGCGUCAAAGGCACGUAUUAAGCUGUAUGUUGGGAUUGUGGUGUAGUACAUUGUGAGAGGAGGGAGAGAUUUGUUCAAAUUGUUGCCGGAUGCAUUUAAGGGAAUCAAGCAGAUUGGAGUCAUUGGCUGGGGUUCUCAGGGACCAGCUCAAGCCCAAAACAUGAGGGAUUCUCUUACAGAAGCAAAAUCUAAUAUAGUUGUUAAGGUAAUACUUCAUUUACUUUCAUUACUUCAUUACUUUCUAUUUUAGAAGUUGAAGCUGGAGUUCAUCUGGUUUGCAACAAGAUGAAAAUCUUAUUGUCUUGCAACUUUAUGAGGCAUGAAUACUGGUUUUGUUGGUUUAAAACCGUUAAGGGGAAAUAACGCAGGAAUUCAAUUUAAAGCUGGCCGCAAAAACCAGAGAUGGAGUUUGAAGAAGAGAAUAUGCAGAGAGUGAUUAUUUUCUUGUUGAAAGACCAUGCCAAAUUUAUCAUCAACUUAGCAACUUAAAUAGUUGCUAUUACAAGUAAAAAUAGGACAAAGAAACAACCUAUUUCUACCAAAAUUAAAAUAACUAAUUAGUUUCCUACCAAAGAUAGGACUCCUAAUUUAACUAGGAUUGUAUGUAAAAAAAACUAGAGAGAAAGAAAACAAAGAAACACGUUGCAUUCCUAAAGCAACUCUCAAUACUCCUCUUUGCUUUAUGAAAUGCAAACUCCAAUUUUCUGUCUAAGAAGCUUGAAUUUGCUAACUGGAAAAGGCGUAGUGAAUAUAUCAGCGCACGUUCUUCCAUCUUUCAGUAGACAAGAAUCACAUCUCCAUCUUUUUGAACUUCUCUCAGGAAGAAAAACUUGAUAUUGAAGUGCUUAGAUUUUCCAUGAAACAGAGGAUUGUGAGAAAUAGCUAUUGCUGCUUGGUUGUCCACGAAUACUUCAAUGCUUCCUUUUGGUUCCAUAUGCAGAUCAAUCAGCAUUUUCUUCAGCCACAAUGCUUGAUUUACUGCUGCUGUAGCUGCCACAAACUCAGCUUCGGCAGUAGAUUGAGCCACAAUGUCCCGUUACAACUCCAUGAAAAAAUCCCAGAACCAAGACUAAAAUAGUGUCCUGAAGUACUCUUCGAGUCAUCUUUGGAACCUCCCCAAUCACUAUUAGAGUACCCAAAAAGCUUCACAGGUUGAGUCCUUCGAAACAUGACUCCAUAGGUGAUAGUUCCUUCGAUGUAUCGCACAAUUCUUUUUGCUGCCUUCAGAUGUACUUCACUCGGACAAUGCAUGAACCUUGAUAGAAUACUUACAGCAUACAAUAUAUCGGGUCUUGUUGCUGUAAGAUACAUUAAACACCCAAUGAAACUUCUGAAAUAUGUUUCGUCCACCUUUUUGGCUCCAUUAUCUUUGCUUAGUUUCUCUUUUGGGGUCAUGGGAGUAUUCACCUCUUUGCAAUUUUCCAUUUUGAAUUUCUUGAGAAUUUCUUUCGCAUAUUUCUUCUGGCAAAUGAAAAACUCAUCUUUCCCUGUGUAAUCUCCAUUCCAAGGAAAUAAGUCAUCAGACCAAGAUCAGACAUUUCAAAAGCUUGCAUCAUAGCCUGCUUGAACUCAUCAAUGAGUUUUGCGCUGCUUUCUGUAAUCAAAAGGUCAUCGACAUAAAGAGAAACAACAAGUAUCUUACUGUUAUUGUGUUUAACAUAUGGUGUGAAUUCUGAAACACUUUUCUCAAAGCCGAGGCUAAGCAAAUAGUCAUCUAUUCGACUAUACCAAGCUCUUGGUGCCUGUUUUAGGCCAUAAAGAGCUUUAUGUAGUCGGUAGACUUUUUCUUCUUUGCCAUCUACAACAAAACCUUCAGGUUGCUCGAUAUAGAUUCUUCUUCAAGAACUCCAUUAAGAAAUGCGGAUUUGACAUCCAUCUGGUGCACUUUCCAGACACGUUGUGCAGCAAUAGUAAGAAGCAACCUGAUUGUGUCAAGCCUAGCAACUGGAGCAAACGUGUCAGAAUAAUCAACACCAAAAAUUUGUGCAUGCCCCUUAACUACCAGUCUUGCCUUGAGCUUGUUAACAGAACCAUCAGUGCGGUAAACCCACUUCACACCGAUGAUCUUUCUAUCUUGAGGCUUUUUCACAAGCUGUCAGGCCUUGUUCUUCUCAAUCAUUGCAAGCUCCUCCUCCAUCGCAGCUUUCCACUUAGGAUCUAAAACAGCUUCUUCAAAUCCAGAAGGCUCUAAAAUGGCCACAUUACAUCUCUGGUAUAUCUCAGAGAGCAACCUUGUUUCUCUCACAGGUUGAUCAUCAAUGUUUUCAUCAAAAUUUAGUAGAUUGCUUGUGAUUUGCUUCCGGUUAACUUUUUCCCAGUCCAUUGCUCAUUCUCCAUAAAAAAUACAUCUCUACUUAACAUUAUUUUUCCAGUAUGAGACUGAAAAAUCUUGUAAGCUUUAGAGAUUGUACUGUAACCAAUAAAAGCUCCAGGUUCAGCUUUCUUGUCUAACUUGUCCCUCUUAACCUGCGGAAUAUGAGAGAAACACAAACAAUUGAAGAUUUUUAAGUUUUUUAAGUACGGCUUAUACCCGUCCCACGCCUCAAAAGGUGUCUUGCCGUCAACUAGUUUGGUAGGCAAUCUGUUCAGUAAAAAAACAGCAGUGUUAGCUGCUUCUGCCUAUAAAUAUUUUGGUAGGCCUUUCUCAUAUAACAAACACCUCGACAUCUCCAUUAUCGUCCUAUUCUUCCUUUCACUGACUCCAUUCUGUUGAUGCUCAAUACCUGCAUUUUCGCAGAACUUUUCAAAUCGAUCAGAUGUGUACUCAGUACCAUUAUCUGAUCUAAGCGUUUGCAUCCUGCAACCACUUUGAUUUUCUACCAAAGCUUUGAAUUUCCAGAAUACUUUAGGUACUUCAGAUUUGAAUCUGAGAAAAUAAAUCCAACACAUUCUUGUCAUAUCAUCAAUAAAUGCUAUAAAAUAUUUACUUCCGUUAAGAGAAGCAGUUUUUAUGUGGUCCACACAAACCAGUAUGGACUAACUAAAGCUUCUCCGAUGCUCUCCAGGUUGCCUUGGCAAAAGGCAUCCUGCUUUGCUUUC